This 466-nucleotide ribosomal RNA is filed under the name uncultured bacterium. Its description in RNAcentral is "bacterial SSU rRNA". It matches the Rfam family "Bacterial small subunit ribosomal RNA", at positions 329 to 793 of the family's 1533-position model. The record is from RNAcentral.
GCCCAGACUCCUACGGGAGGCAGCAGUGAGGAAUAUUGGUCAAUGGCCGAGAGGCUGAACCAGCCAAGUCGCGUGAGGGAAGAAUGUCCUAAGGAUUGUAAACCUCUUUUGUCGGGGAGCAAAAAGGCUCUGCGGAGUCGUAUUGAGAGUACCCGAAGAAAAAGCAUCGGCUAACUCCGUGCCAGCAGCCGCGGUAAUACGGAGGAUGCGAGCGUUAUCCGGAUUUAUUGGGUUUAAAGGGUGCGCAGGCGGCGUGUCAAGCAAGCGGUAAAAUAGCGGGGCUCAACCCCGUCGAGCCGUUGAAACUGGCAGACUUGAGUUGGCGAGAAGUACGCGGAAUGCGCGGUGUAGCGGUGAAAUGCAUAGAUAUCGCGCAGAACUCCGAUUGCGAAGGCAGCGUACCGGCGCCACACUGACGCUGAGGCACGAAAGCGUGGGGAUCGAACAGGAUUAGAUACCCUUGUAA